Non-coding RNA from Triticum aestivum (bread wheat), 137 nucleotides. The record is from Rfam. NCBI's taxonomy places the organism in Eukaryota, Viridiplantae, Streptophyta, Magnoliopsida, Poales, Poaceae.
GAUGUACCCCCUCUGUCCUAAAAAGGAUGUCGCAAAUUUAUCUAAAUCUAGAUGUAUCUAUAUACUAUAUAGUGUCUACAUACAUCUAAAUUUACACAAGUUUGAGACAUCUCUUUUUAGGACGGAUGGAGUAAGAA